RNAcentral lists this long non-coding RNA (317 nucleotides) under Sorghum bicolor (sorghum). Its description in RNAcentral is "long non-coding RNA (SBIC_LNC011520)". Lineage: Eukaryota; Viridiplantae; Streptophyta; Magnoliopsida; Poales; Poaceae. The record is from RNAcentral.
ACGAGAAUCUGAAACCUUGCCAAACAACAUGUACAUUGUGAAUUAUUACAUGAACUCAAUAUUUAACAAAAAUUGCUAUAAGAAAAAUAGGUUGGAGCAAAAAUGCCCAUACACAUAAUCGGUUGGAGCCAUGGAUGGGGUGUUGCCACCUCAACAUGGCAAAGUGGUUAAGUUUGAUCCUAAACCCGCUUGUAAGAGCAUCUCUAGCAGUACUACCUAAAUGUUUGUUUAGGUACCCACCUAUUUUUAUACCACCUAAAAUUUGCUUCCAAGUCCAGCAGUACUACCUAAAUCUUGGCUCACAAAUUCAGCUUAAC